This 122-nucleotide small nucleolar RNA is filed under the name Mus pahari (shrew mouse). RNAcentral describes it as "predicted gene, 25016 (MGP_PahariEiJ_G0034467.1)". It matches the Rfam family "Small nucleolar RNA SNORA17". Rfam says of the family: snoRNA ACA 17 belongs to the H/ACA family of snoRNAs and is predicted to guide pseudouridylation of the 28S rRNA at positions U4659 and U4598. Lineage: Eukaryota; Metazoa; Chordata; Mammalia; Rodentia; Muridae. The record is from RNAcentral.
CCUGCCCUGCAGGUGCCAGGUGUGGCUGCCGUGUCCCGUGUGCGUAAGUGGGUGGCAGAGAAGAGAAAUAUUUCUGGGCUCAGUGUUUUAACCUAUGAACGUCUAAAUGAGUAGUAGUCUAA